Molecule: long non-coding RNA, 712 nt
Filed under: Rattus norvegicus (Norway rat)
Lineage: Eukaryota; Metazoa; Chordata; Mammalia; Rodentia; Muridae
Description: long non-coding RNA NONRATT014748
Source: RNAcentral
UGCAUGUGGGCCUCCAUCUGUUUUGCAGUUAGGAGUUAGGUCUUCAGUGGUACAUCCUGUGACUGCCAGAUGUCCAUCUCUUUAGUUCCUCAUCGAGCCAUCCCACUUCCUGCUUGGUAGAACAAGAAUGUUCCCGGUGCCCCCACCAGGGGUUUCCCCAUUUUCAACCUCACUCACGAUGAUGCCAUUGGCCUCUAACUAAUCCAGAAGACUAAAUGUUAAAGAAGGGGUAUUCUACUGGUAAGGCUUAUUACCCAACUUCUGAUACUAAAGCCAGCUACCAAAAACAUAUCCAGCUCACCCUGGGAGUGUUUGGGUUGGAUCAUGGACGUAGCAAACACACCAAAAUCCAUGAAUACCUUUGCAGGUUAGGUUGCUCAUUUUCUUUUUGCUAGAUUUUCACAGGAAGGUCUUUAGUUCUGGAUCCUUGUAAGUAUGAGUCCUCCAUAGCAUCAUAUGCAGGUAUAGCUGGUCCAUUCUCCACACUGUAAAUAUUUUUCCCAAACUGGGUGCAGUACUGAGGGUAAUAAUCUUCUGAUUUAUCAAAUGCUGACUGUCUGGAGCAAAUCGUCCGCUCUUUGUGAAUGGUCCUGUAACGUAUAUGAACAUAUUUCUGGGUGCCUUAGAAGUUGUAUUUUUCAUGUGUGCUAAUAUGCAGUAUUUAUACAUUGUGAGAAGCUGCUUUGAAUAAAAAGAUUGAAACUUUGUCUCC